Molecule: long non-coding RNA, 7417 nt
Organism: Mesocricetus auratus (golden hamster)
Lineage: Eukaryota; Metazoa; Chordata; Mammalia; Rodentia; Cricetidae
Exons: 8
Source: RefSeq, a predicted model, not a curated record
GACUCUGGUUAUGACCCUAUAUGGAGUUGUUUACUCCAGCCCUGCAGGGGCCCAGUGCCAUCUUGGAAUGGCGGCCACAACUCAUGGCUCCCUGCAAAUUAAAGUACCAAAUAGGUUGUUUUUAUUUAUAUUUUGUUUGCCAUUUUUGUGUUAAGAAUGCUGCCAAGCCAGGGGUGGUGGCACAUGCCUCAGAAGGCAGAGGCAGGCAGAUCUCUGAGUUUGAGGCCAGCCUGGUUUACAUAGUGAGUUCUAGGACAGCCAGAGCUAUGUAAAGAAAUCCUGUCUCAAAAAACUUACUUAGAAAAAGAACUAUGCUGAUUGGAAUAUGAAAAAAAUUGAUACAUUAAUGUAGUGGGCUGCUCUUUUCGUUUAAAUAUUUUUGUUAAUAAAUUGGUGGUUUAUUUGUGAAAUUUCUUUUGGAGGAAGCACACACUUAAAACCUCAGCUUUUCAGCACCACUGUUAUCAAAGGACAAGGAUGCUGCUAUCACCAUUGCUGUUUGACUUUAGCUACACUAACAAUGUAAAGAGCAGGAAAAUUGUCUGCUUGAUUAUAAAAGAUGUAUGUAAGGUUCAUAGUUUUUCUACAUGUGCUCUAACCUUGCCACCCCUGGGUAAUUAGAAGUGAGGUUGAGGAAGACUGGUGAGAUGGUGGCUCAGUGGGUCAAGUCACUUACUGCUGAGUCACUUACUGCCUGAGUCCAGUCCCUGGGGCCUACACAGUGGAAGGAAAGAACCGGUUGCUGCAACCCCCUCUAAGUAAAUGCAAUUAAAAUUAAAAUGCCACCCAAUAGAUGACUAAAACUGAAGAUGCCAAACAACUCAAGAGUAACUUGUUAAGAUGACUAUAAAGAGCAUCUGGGAGAAGAAACAGGAAGAAUAGAAUUAUGGGACUAAAGGUGAGCUUGGGGCUCAUUGAUUCUGUGCUGGCAACUCUCUAGAUUUAUGUAGAACUAUUUCUGUAUAUAUAUAUAUAUAUAUAUAUUUUUUUAUGUGUAUGUUUGCCUGCAUGCAUGUAUAUGUGCUGUGUUGGGUGUCUAGUGCUCACAGAAGUCAGGAGGAGUUGGAUCCCCUAAUUACAGAUAAUCUGUGAACCAUUUGGGUACUGGGAAUUGAACCCAUGUCUACUGCAAGAGCAACAAGAACUGUUAGCCACUGAGCCAUCUCUGCAAGCCCCAAUUUAUGUUAGAAUUUUAAAGGAUAACUUGAGCCAUAGAACAUACAAUGGAAAGAAAAUCAAAAAUCCAUGUAACCCAUAAGUGAAUGUGAAUGAGUUUAUGUAUAAAUUAGAGGUCUUGUGUGAGAAGAUACUCAGAUACAAGGCAAACACAAACUUAAAAGCAAACUAGAGGCAGUUCUUUCAUGGAGAUCUUUGGAUGAUCCUUGCCUUGGUGACCUCAAAGGCAGUUGAGGUGCCCUCCUUCUGGUCUGUCUUUUGCUGAUAAUUAUUGGUUCUUUAGCUUCUGUUUUUAUGGCCUAUCUCUUAUGCCACCACUCAGGAAUGCUUCACUAGUGGACCAUCCAUGACUGUUCCUGUCUAGAACCUCCAGCAGAUUUUGUUACAGUCUUCUGAACAUCACAUUGACUGUUGGAAGUAGAACUGUUUCCGUAAGGAAAGAAUUGGAUAGUAGAAUCAUGGAAGCAGGGGACAGGCUACUGUAUACUGUAGAAGGGAGAAUAUAUGCCCGGUAGCUGAGAAAAAGAUGGAAUAUUCUGUAUGGGGUAGUAGACACUUAGCUUGGAAAUGUGAGAGAUUGUACAUUGUUGUGACAACAUGUCGGGAGGUCUCUGUCUGGGUAUGGCUUGGACCAUGCUUUUGUCCAGUGUGUCCACACUGUGCUUACUACUCAGAUAACCACUUAGCUGUCAUAUCAAAUGUCUGGGUUACUGAUUCUUAGGGCAGCCCUAAGUACCCUUUAUUUUACUUAGAAAUAUCCACAGAAUGUAAAGGAGUGAUGUGGGCAAUUUGUAUGUGCUGAAGAGAAGCCAUAAAGUGAAAAGAUAAAAAGCAUGACAGAUUUUGUUUUCUGUUCAGGAAUUGAACUGAGGGGCUUAAACAUGUUAUGAAGACAUUCUACUGCUAAGCUAUAUUUCAGCCUUAAAGAAUUAAAAACAUUUUUUUUCUUAAAUAAGGCUGUCUGUCUGCACUUGGGAAGCAGAGACAGGCAGACCUUGUGAAUUCAAGGACAGCCAGAGCUACAUAACAGAGAGACCCUGUGUCAAAAAACAAAACGAGACAAAAAAGGACUGUCUCCUGACUGACCUUAAGCUCAAGACUCCUCUGCCUCUGCCUCCUGAAUUUUGGGAUUGUAGGUAUAUGCCACCAUGCCCAGCUAAGUGAAGAAAACUUGUGUUACUAUAAUUAUUCUAUUGUAUUCUUUUAUUGUGCCUAAUUUGUAACUUGCUUUAUCAUGGGUGUAUGUAUCUAAGGCAAAACUUGGCAUAUGCACUUGCCCAUGGUUUCAGGUAUCUGCUGGGGUCUUAGAAUGGAUCCAUGGAUGGAUGAGUACACUAUUAUAUUUACCUGUCCUUCACAAUAAUCCCAAAUGAGUGUUAGUUGAAAGAAGAAAGAGUAAUUAGAAGAGAGUAUAGUUUAAAAUUUAUAUUUAGCUUUGCAUAGUUCAUAACAAAAUUAGUGGAAGGUACAGAGAUUUCCUAUAUAACCCUGGCCUGGCCCCUCCUGAGUCCCUACCAUGACAUUCUGCAUGGUUCAGUCAGUGAAUCUGCAUUGACAUGCUAGCAAGUGGUCUGUGAUGUGUAUCAGUGUUUGCUGGGAACUUUUCAUAGUCUAUAAAUGAUGAUUCCACUGUUUCAGUAUCACAAGAAUUGUUUUCAUUGCCCCAAAAUUCUUUGUUAUGUCUUUCCACCCUUGGCAGCCACUGGUCCUUCUUUCCCUGUCUUCAGCUUGACUUUUCCCAAGAUUCUCAGAGCUGGAGUCAUACGGUAGGCAGCCUUUCAGUUUGGCUUCUUUGCAGUGCUGUUGACUCUGCCCUGUAUGGAUGUACUAGACUGUACAGCUCAUUUGCUGAAAGACAUGCUGCUGCUUCCACGGAAAGCCUGCUGGGUCUGUCCUGGUGUUGGCUUUGGUGAGCAUGUUUUUAGCUCCUGAUUUCUGGAUUCUAUGCUUUGAGCAUGUCUGUCUUUUAAUUAAUUGCUUAUCUACCUACUUAUUUAAAGGCAGAUUCUCACUGUGUAGCCCUAACCUGGAGCUCGUAGAGAACCACUGGCCUCUGCUGGGAUUAAAGGCACACUCUAUCACUCCUGGCUCAGAGUAGUCUAGCCUACAGAUAGUAAAAAGGACUUACCUGUAUACUUACAUAAGUGGCUCUUCCAGUCUAGAUAUUUUUCUAGAUAUGUGAGUCCAGGUCUACCCCAGUUAUCUGUUAACUAUAGAUCAGCAGCAAAAUACAGAGCCAGAAAAGGGAGCCUAGCUCAGACUCCAUUUAAAUGAGCCCCGGUCCUGUAGAUCACUAUCUGCCUGACAAAAUUCUAGUUUUGUCAACCUUCUGGUUUUCUGGAGACAGGCCAUGUUUAUUCUAAUUGUUCUGUAAUUAAUAGCAUUUGUUCUCUUAUUCUCAGAGUCUUGUUGUAGACAAUGAGUGAUACAGUAACCCUAGCUACAGGUUUUUAAGUGGUUACCUACUAAAUGCUAGCCAAGCAUACCAGACCUCUGUGGAAGUGGGGGUGGUCUUGAAGAAUGUAGGCAAUUCUCCCUCCUUUUUUCAUCCUUCAGUGUUUUCUUCUUUCAUCUUUGGCUCAUUAGCUGGCAAGGACUUGUACAGUAAAUGCGUUCAGUUCAGCCAUAUAAGUAUUAGAACCACUUUGAUAAUAGCUGACUUUGGGGACUUUAUAUUUGCAAUUACAAGUGUUGGAUUCCUCUAACUUUUUUAUGUUCAGUUUUUCAGGUUGUCUUGAUUAGAAAAGCCUGUUUGCAAUAACCCUACUCAGCUCACAACUAGAGAGAAUCAAGUUUCCCAGCCCACUCAAUUUGAAAGCCUGCCAAGAUAGGUGAAAGACCUUAUAAAUAUGUAAAGCAGGAAGUUCAAAUUACAGUCAAGCAAAUGCCUAAUGAUUGGUGUUCUUUUCAAAACAAAAACAAAAAAGAAGUGCAUUUUCUGGGCAUCCCGCUAGCACCAGCACCAAAGGGUGGUCUGGAGUUCAGACUCAAGUGUGUACUUUAGUGCUAUAUUUAUUUUGCAUUUUUACCACUUCCUGGAGGCCGGGUGGAAGGAUCCAAAAAACUGGACACCUCAGACGUUUUGCUUGUAAGGCGGAGCAGUAGAACUGGGCCGGCCAGGAAGGGGUUUGGAAGCCGUGUUGAACGGGAAAGCGGGGGAAGCUGAAUAUGGUUUCAACUUAAGUCAGGAUUCGGCUACUUAAUGCAGGACAGUGGUGCUCGUGGCUACGGGAGGCCCUGGGGGACGGCACACAGAGCACACUUGCAUGGACUUCUCUUCCAAAUGGCCGCGUCCACAUCCACAUUCCCCACCGACCGCAAGCGCGUGCCCAGAUGCUCGGAGGACGCGGCCGCUGCCAUUGUUGUGCUUGACACUUAAUCCCGAUCGCCCCGGGCGGCGGCGCUCUCUCGAGCGGUGUAAAAAGGCACAGUCUUGCAUUCUUUCCGAGCUUCGGGAGGUGGAGCCCGCCGCCUGCCAGAGCAAAGUUGCUAACCCCAGCCUCUCGCCGCCGCUCGCUCAGCAUCCUCCAGCUUGCUCCAUUCCCCCGAACGCCCUCGGAUCCUGCGGCUGCCCGCCCCACUCCACCGCCCUCCAUGGAGGAAAGUCUCACUUUUGAUUUACCAAAUAUUUUCAGGAUGUUUGAAGAUCCCUACGCUGCCCAGAGGCUGUUUUUCUGGACAACCCAGUCCCCAGCCUAUAUUGUUACACGUUUUGUUUUUUUUUUGUUUUUUUUGAGGACUGGUUGCUGCUUUGCCUACACUGAUGUGGCUCUAAUUAGAGGAAAUUGCAAAAACUGUGCAAUUUUCUGGCUCCCUCGACUGGCUGAUCAGCAGACUGGAAAGACUGUGGAAGCAUCCUCUGGUCCUUCACUGCAUGUUAGUGGAAAUCCCAGAAGCUCUGAAUAUCAUCAAGGAAGGGCAUAUCAAAUCCAUCAUCUCACUUUUAGACAAGCAUGGAAGAAAUCACAAGGUCCUGGAUGUGUUGUGUUCUCUCUGUGCUUGCCAUGGGGUUGCUCUCCGUUCUAACCAGCAUCUCAUCUGUGACAAUCUCGUGCCAGGACGAGAUCUCUUACUGCAGACCCGUCUUGUGAAUCAUGUCAGCAGGUAGUUUGAUAUCUGGCUGGCUGUGUGCUGCAGAGCUGUCAGAUGCUGGUGUCUAAGGGUUACCCAGACAUUGGGUGGAAUCCAGUUGAAGGAGAGAGAUACCUCGACUUUCUCAGAUUUGCUGUCUUCUGUAACGGAGAGAGUGUAGAAAAGAAUGCAAUGUUGUGGUGAGGUUGCUCAUCCGGAGGCCCAAGUGCUUUGGUCCUGCCUUGAGAGGGGAAGAUGGCAAUGGUCUCAUUGCCGCCAUGGAAGAAGCCAUAAAAAUAGCUGAGGAUCCUUCUAGAGAUGGCCCUUCCCCAGCAAGUGGAUCCAGCAAAACCCUGUAGGUCUACACCUCAGAAAAUGAUGUCACCUCACCAAAGCUGACAACAUGCAUUGAAGCACGAUACGUUAUGUGGGACUGGUUCUCCUCCCAGUGCAAGGUCCUAAGCUGGCUAAGUGACUCACCACAGAUGACUUGGAAAGAAGCAGGAUUCGAAUAGGAAGGGACUACUAGUGUUGGCCCUGCUUCUACAUCAGUCUGAGAGAGGGACUUAGACCCACUGCCUCCGGCCCUUUUCAGACCACGUUUCCCAGGAGUCCCUGCUUGCUUACCUGCUGUAAGUCAGAGUAUUGAGAAGACUGACAGGGCAUGCUAGCUGAGGGAGGGGUGUAACAACCUCCAUGCCAGAGGAACCUGCCUGAAGCAGGGGUGGUUGGGAUUAGCAGUGGCUUUGAUCAACAGGAACCAAGUCUUUAUCUGAUGACUCUUGAGUUUUGUUCACCUUCUGGAAGCAAGAAUGGCAUCUUUAUUACCCAGCCAGUUGGAGUGCCUUGCCAGCCCCUGGCGGCAUAACCCAAUUACAGGAUGGGUGUUUACCAUGUGCCCUCCAUGUUUGGGUGCUACGUUCAGUGAGAGCCCCUCACAUUGGAGCAGCUGACAUGUAGGGCUCAGCUCAGUCCCUGUGUCACCUUCAGCCCUGCUUACUUACACUUAGCUGUGCCCACACACUCAGCCAGCGUGUGCUCCGGGUAACAUCCUUCUCGAUGACGGAGAAAUGCCUGCCUCUCGCUCUCUGAUGUGUCGCUAUGCUAACAUGAGACCCUCCGGGGUUGCUUCCUCACACCGAUGGCUGUUAGGGCCUGUACACAGGCUGAACUUAUCUCUCCUGCAUUGGAGAAACCUGAACACUCGUAGCCUUCAGACUUACUAUCUUCUCAGAGGCCCAUCUGCCUUUUAUAGGAAAAAAAUUAUUCCACCUUGUAUCAUAAACUGCCAGAACAUUUUAGUCUUUCAUUACCAUGGAAAGCUGCUGGGAGGACUUAGCCCUAAGACCAAAAUCUGGUGUCAGAUAAUAGCCAUAGUUUGCCACAUUUUCAUACCACUGAAGGCUGAAUGUUUUUAAGGGGCCUUUUCUCAGCCCUUCUUCCUGGUUUGUAAAUGUCUGUGUACAGGGAAGAGUAUGGCACAUAGGAGCGGGUGGUGUGUGGACAAGCCAUCCUCCUGCCCCCAUGGACCUAGAUUCAUUUUCUGAUUCUUCUCUCAUCUUACAGGUAAAACCAGGCUAAAGCAUCCUAUAAUCAGUUAUUGCCUGGGGAGUGGGAGGGACUUUAGGGGCAGUAGCCUUUUAUAUGCAAGUUUCUUAAGUUACUUUGUAUGCUUUGUUUUGGAAGAAGUGAGACUUGAAGAUGGUGUUUCUGAGAUAAAGUCUCUUCCCUAGCAGUUGACAGGCUCGCCCAGGGCCUCCCAUGAGUCUGGCCACCCAGCUUAGGCCUCAGCUGGCAGCUCUGUUCAGACACCAACUGCCAUUUAAACCCUUGUGCUGGAGAGUACCUUGCAGAUUCUGCAUCCUCAUGGCUGUUCUAGUUGUUUCUUUUUGUCUUUUUUUGCAUCUCUAGUCCAGAGACCUAGCUGUCAUCCUCAUCCAGGGAGCCCUCCUCUUCCUCCUGACAACGCGGCUCUACCAUCGCAAUGCUGGUUGUUGCUAAGGUUGCCUCCAUGGUAACAUGCUCAUCCUGUUUACACUUUUAUAUGGGCAAGUAGUCUAAGCUAGGAACUUAUCUACUCUGUGUAGGCAUUUCGGUAGAAUUGGGAUGGGCCAGGUGUUCUGGCACUCGGGAGUCACAGAACACUGAGUGUUACACAGAUCAGGUGGAA